GUGACGGGUGAGGCAAAGGCAGUGCACCUAAAGACUGAGUCCCUACAGAAACUCUUGCGGAAGGAGAGCACGUUCCGGCUCGACGUGGCCUGGCACCGAGUGAAACGAGGUCGACGCAUGAAGACAAGGCCUGAACGGCCAGGUGAUAGAAGAUUUGAGAAGCCAUAUGGGAUAGAUAUUAGCAGUAACAAGAAGAUGCCACCACAGAAGGGACAAAGGAAAGGGAUGGUUACCAGAGCCCAGAAGCUGAGACCACUGAGUGGGAGUCGGGACUGCGGGUCAAUGCAGCCACUGCAGGAGGAUGCUGCCUGAGAAAGAGCGAGGGAGAAGCAACCAGGACAACUGUAAAAAGGAAGCCUGGAGGCACGCAAUGGGUCAGGUUAUUUCAGGAUCUACUCCAGAAACCUAGACAUACUGGAAUUGAAAAUCUGCCUGACCACCCCAGCUGGAAUUACUUCUUCCUUCUUGGAAUUGAUGGAGCAGGACUUCGACGCUCAUUUGGCACAUCUGUGUUCAUUUAUUCAUUCAUUCCGAAAUAUUUUCUGAACACCCUUUGUUCAGUAUCAUGCAGAGUGAGAAGGGAGUGGGCCAGAUUUGAGGAAUGGGCAGGAAGUAGAGAGGACGUGCAGAUGAGGAGGGAGCGGAGACUAAUACCGAACAUAGGGGCUUUCCUCUCAACGGAUUUCGGGGUACAUUACGAUACACCUGAUUACUAAUAUCUCUUGCACAAAUGAUAAAUAUUCAUUACACACAUACACAAUCUAAGUAUAAAUGCUGAAACAGAAAAAUCAGUUGGGCAAACAGAUGAGAAGCACAAGUCUUGGAGAGAUGAUUGAACAUUUUGUUUUUUCCCCUGGUUGAUAAUGAAGCUGUUUUUGAAUGUCAGUUUCAACCAAUCUCUUACCUCCUCUACAGCCACUCUAGAGUAAUAGUGGGGAAAUGGUAAGCUUCUGGAUUUGAUUCUUCUUUGUCAAGCACAAAUUAUCCUGAGAACAUAAAUUACAUCAGUCACUUUUUUUCCCCCAGGGAAAGCCUUAAGGAGGAAAUUAAGUUGGAAAACAUGAUGCCAGUAAUUUUCUACACGUAAAUGAUUAGUGAUUAAAUAAGCAUUGAGAGUAGAAGUAUUAGGGAAAAGAAAAUAGUUUGAAUAUUAUUGGUGCCCCUACUCUAUUGGAGUGCUUAUAAAACUUGUGACAAAGCCAAAAUGAAAGGGAAAACAUUCUUUUUUUUU
Camelus dromedarius (Arabian camel) is the source of this 1231-nucleotide long non-coding RNA. RefSeq lists it as uncharacterized. The transcript is spliced from 3 exons. Lineage: Eukaryota; Metazoa; Chordata; Mammalia; Artiodactyla; Camelidae. The record is from RefSeq and is a predicted model, not a curated record.